GCGCGGGGGCAACCCUGGCGGCGAGCGGCGAACGGGUGAGUAAUACAUCGGAACGUGUCCAGUAGUGGGGGAUAACCAGUCGAAAGAUUGGCUAAUACCGCAUACGAUCUACGGAUGAAAGCGGGGGACCGCAAGGCCUCGCGCUAUUGGAGCGGCCGAUGUCGGAUUAGCUAGUUGGCGGGGUAAAAGCCCACCAAGGCGACGAUCCGUAGCUGGUCUGAGAGGACGAUCAGCCACACUGGAACUGAGACACGGUCCAGACUCCUACGGGAGGCAGCAGUGGGGAAUUUUGGACAAUGGGGGAAACCCUGAUCCAGCCAUGCCGCGUGAGUGAAGAAGGCCUUCGGGUUGUAAAGCUCUUUCGGCGGGGACGAAACGGUUCGUGCCAACACCACGGAUCAAUGACGGUACUCGCAGAAGAAGCACCGGCUAACUACGUGCCAGCAGCCGCGGUAAUACGUAGGGUGCAGGCGUUAAUCGGAAUUACUGGGCGUAAAGCGUGCGCAGGCGGCCUCUUAAGUCAGAUGUGAAAUCCCCGGGCUUAACCUGGGAACUGCGUUUGAAACUAAGAGGCUAGAGUGUGGAAGAGGGGGGUGGAAUUCCAGGUGUAGCAGUGAAAUGCGUAGAGAUCUGGAGGAACACCGAUGGCGAAGGCAGCCCCCUGGGCUGACACUGACGCUCAUGCACGAAAGCGUGGGGAGCAAACAGGAUUAGAUACCCUGGUAGUCCACGCCCUAAACGAUGUCAACUGGUUGUCGGGGAAGUUAUUCCUUGGUAACGAAGCUAACGCGUG
This 793-nucleotide ribosomal RNA is filed under the name uncultured beta proteobacterium. RNAcentral's name for it is "bacterial SSU rRNA". It matches the Rfam family "Bacterial small subunit ribosomal RNA", at positions 71 to 861 of the family's 1533-position model. The record is from RNAcentral. Lineage: Bacteria; Pseudomonadati; Pseudomonadota; Betaproteobacteria.